GACGAACGCUGGCGGCGUGCUUAACACAUGCAAGUCGUACGGUAAGGCCCUUUCGGGGGUACACGAGCGGCGAACGGGUGAGUAACACGUGAGUAACCUGCCCACAACUUUGGGAUAACGCUAGGAAACUGGUGCUAAUACUGGAUAUGUGCUCCUGCUGCAUGGUGGGGGUUGGAAAGCUCCGGCGGUUGUGGAUGGACUCGCGGCCUAUCAGCUUGUUGGUGGGGUAGUGGCCUACCAAGGCGGCGACGGGUAGCCGGCCUGAGAGGGUGACCGGCCACAUUGGGACUGAGAUACGGCCCAGACUCCUACGGGAGGCAGCAGUGGGGAAGAUUGCACAAUGGGCGCAAGCCUGAUGCAGCAACGCCGCGUGCGGGAUGACGGCCUUCGGGUUGUAAACCGCUUUCAGCAGGGACGAAGCUUUUUGUGACGGUACCUGCAGAAGAAGCACCGGCUAACUACGUG
This 465-nucleotide ribosomal RNA is filed under the name uncultured bacterium. RNAcentral describes it as "partial 16S ribosomal RNA". It matches the Rfam family "Bacterial small subunit ribosomal RNA", at positions 28 to 507 of the family's 1533-position model. The record is from RNAcentral.